RNAcentral lists this non-coding RNA (148 nucleotides) under Gorilla gorilla gorilla (western lowland gorilla). The record is from Rfam by way of RNAcentral. Lineage: Eukaryota; Metazoa; Chordata; Mammalia; Primates; Hominidae.
GCCGGGCGUGGUGGUGGGCGCCUGUAAUCCCAGCUACUCGGGAGGCUGAGACGGGAGAAUUGCUUGAACCCAGGAGGCUGAGCUUGUAGUGAGCAGAGAUUGUGCCACCGCACUCCAGCCUGGGAGACAGAGUGAGACUCCGUCUCAA